GCGAGUGGCGAACGGGUGAGUAAUAUAUCGGAACGUGCCCAGUCGUGGGGGAUAACGCAGUGAAAGCUGUGCUAAUACCGCAUACGAUCUCUGGAUGAAAGCGGGGGACUCGGCAACGAGCCUCGCGCGAUUGGAGCGGCCGAUAUCAGAUUAGCUAGUUGGUGGGGUAAAAGCCCACCAAGGCGACGAUCUGUAGCUGGUCUGAGAGGACGACCAGCCACACUGGGACUGAGACACGGUCCAGACUCCUACGGGAGGCAGCAGUGGGGAAUUUUGGACAAUGGGCGCAAGCCUGAUCCAGCAAUGCCGCGUGCAGGAUGAAGGCCUUCGGGUUGUAAACUGCUUUUGUACGGAACGAAAAAGUCUGCCCUAAUACGGUGGGCCCAUGACGGUACCGUAAGAAUAAGCACCGGCUAACUACGUGCCAGCAGUCGCGGUAAUACGUAGGGUGCGAGCGUUAAUCGGAAUUACUGGGCGUAAAGCGUG
Molecule: ribosomal RNA, 486 nt
Filed under: uncultured Rhodoferax sp.
Lineage: Bacteria; Pseudomonadati; Pseudomonadota; Betaproteobacteria; Burkholderiales; Comamonadaceae
Description: bacterial SSU rRNA
Rfam family: Bacterial small subunit ribosomal RNA
Source: RNAcentral